GAAAGAGGCCCGGGGCAAUAGAGACUGCUAAUCCCUACCACCACGGUUAAACUCCGUGGCUCAUUCAAA
Molecule: transfer RNA, 69 nt
Filed under: Ictalurus pricei (Yaqui catfish)
Lineage: Eukaryota; Metazoa; Chordata; Actinopteri; Siluriformes; Ictaluridae
Also listed under: 2 other names
Description: tRNA-Ser
Source: RNAcentral